CUCCAAAGCUACGGAGUAAGGACGAUUCCCAUCUCUGCCAUUUGGAGGCACAAAAAGAGCUCCAAGGAAACAUGGGCCUGAUGGUCUCAUGUGCCAUGGAGUCAUACA
Molecule: small nucleolar RNA, 108 nt
Filed under: Encephalitozoon cuniculi GB-M1
Lineage: Eukaryota; Fungi; Microsporidia; Unikaryonidae
Description: U65 H/ACA snoRNA
Source: RNAcentral